AGAGUUUGAUCCUGGCUCAGAUUGAACGCUGGCGGCAGGCCUAACACAUGCAAGUCGAGCGGAAACAGAAAGUAGCUUGCUACUUUGCUGUCGAGCGGCGGACGGGUGAGUAAUGCCUAGAUAUCUGCCUAGUCGUGGGGGAUAACAGCUGGAAACGACUGCUAAUACCGCAUACGCCUACGGGGAAAGGAGGGGACUCCGGGCCUUCCGCCGAUUAGAUGAGUCUAGCNGGGGANNANCUANUAGGGUGACGNANUGNGUCACCUAGGNGACNANCCCCUAGCUUGUCUUCAAGAGGNUCACAAGCCANACNCGGANAUG
This 321-nucleotide ribosomal RNA is filed under the name uncultured methane-seep sediment bacterium SB-7. RNAcentral describes it as "partial 16S ribosomal RNA". It matches the Rfam family "Bacterial small subunit ribosomal RNA", at positions 8 to 321 of the family's 1533-position model. The record is from RNAcentral.